GGGGGAUUAGCUCAGCUGGGAGAGCGCCUGCUUUGCAAGCAGGAUGUCGUCGGUUCGAUCCCGUCAUCCUCCA
This is a transfer RNA of Bordetella ansorpii, 73 nucleotides long. It matches the Rfam family "tRNA". Rfam says of the family: Transfer RNA (tRNA) molecules are approximately 80 nucleotides in length. Lineage: Bacteria; Pseudomonadati; Pseudomonadota; Betaproteobacteria; Burkholderiales; Alcaligenaceae. The record is from Rfam.